Molecule: ribosomal RNA, 360 nt
Filed under: uncultured eukaryote
Lineage: Eukaryota
Description: partial 18S ribosomal RNA
Rfam family: Eukaryotic small subunit ribosomal RNA
Source: RNAcentral
CAAUAGCAUAUAUUAACGUUGUUGCAGUUGAAAAGCUCGUAGUUGAUCUUUUGGUAGGAGCGACCUGGCCUUGGGCGCAUGCCCUUGUUUGCCGUGUGUCGUGUCUGGCCAUCCUUUUCCGCUUCGGCGGGAAUCUUUUACUGUGAGUAAACUGGAGUGCUCAAAACAAGACGUUUGUUUGGUACAUUAAAGCAUGGAAUAAUAAGAUAGGACCUGGUUACUAUUUUGUUGGUUUGCAUAGCUAGGUAAUGAUUAACAGGGACAGUUAGGGGUAUUCGUAUUUAAUUGUCAGAGGUGAAAUUCUUGGAUUUAUGAAAGACGAACGACUGCGAAAGCAUUUACCAAGGAUGUUUUCAUUAA